Molecule: long non-coding RNA, 4656 nt
Filed under: Selaginella moellendorffii
Lineage: Eukaryota; Viridiplantae; Streptophyta; Lycopodiopsida; Selaginellales; Selaginellaceae
Description: long non-coding RNA (SMOE_LNC001037)
Source: RNAcentral
UUUGCGAUAAAACACGAUAUUGGAUAUAUCAAACGCGAUGUUAGAUACAUUAUAGGAUUCUGGUUCCUUGUUCAUCUCUAACAAGGUGCCACUUUAUAGAGCGCGAGAAGCCACAGGCACUGAUCAGUGGUAUUUUCUGACGAUCCCCCUCAGGUACUCCCAGCCUCCACUCUGAUACGCGAAGUCCUGCAGCGAUUCAUCCAGGCAUUCUUCCUCGAGUUGAGAGCAACUCUGGCUUGUUAUGUGCCACACCCUGAAAGGAACGUCACGGGUUCUGUCCACUGCCCGGCGCUCCACAAACAGCUGCUGUAGACCAGCGUGGUCUUUCCUGAGCAGCUCAACAAACUUGGUGUUGCCACACACGAAAACAAUCCUGAAGCAGCUAGCGUCUACGUCGAAGUCAGUGGCUGCUUCUGCAAACAGCUGAGCCGACUCCACACAUUCCGCAUCAUCCUGCUGGCCAUGGAGCUUGAGCCAUUCCGGAAUAACCUGCGAGCACAAAGAAGAAGAAUCAAUACUAUCGAUCAAGUAGAAACCUUCUUCAUUGAAAAUCACCUUCUUGCCUCGGGUUGGCAGCAUCGCCUUGAGUCGCCCAAACAAUGUAAUCACCCUCCAGCCCGGUACCUGGUCGUAGUUGUGGUGCACGAACAAGGCACCGAGGCGGAGACGCUUGGCCACCCAGGCGCCCAGCUCCGUUCCUCGGAGGUGAGCAUCGUUGAGCAUCUGGUAGGCAGCCUUGUCGCACACGAAGAUGUCGCUCGUCUUCCCAUCCUCGUCCAGAGGAGGGGCCCUGUUACGAACUGGAAAGAAGCCAUACUUCAUAGCCUCCACCUCGUCAAGUCCGCUGGGGUGGAGCUUGCCUGGAAUGGGAACCCAGCCAGUGGCCUCCUCCUUCUCCUCCGUGCAUGGACGCCUUGGGGAGGCGUCGCCCCUGCUGCUGCGCCUGCGCUUGGGGCUCCUGGAACGCGGCAUCUCGCCCGAGCGUGGCCUGCGGGAGCUAGAGGCAUCCAUUCUAUCGCCGUGCCUGCGCUUGCCCGAGCGUCGCCUGCGCAAGCUAGAGUCAUCCAUUCCAUGGUCGUCCCUGCUGCUAAGCCAGCGCUUUGGGAGCCCAGGUGGCCUGCGAUCCCGAGGCCCGCGCUCUGGCCUGGCAAUUGCGUGAACGUUGCCUUCGCGCCUCGUCGUCCUACCCAUGCCCUAAUCUCCGAGGUUAGGGCUGUUUGAUGAUUAGGAGUUAGAACUUGACGGUGAUUCUGAUGCCUUAAUUUCUACAUCGUUUGGCAGCGAGUGCAUUCUUGGAUUCGCUACUGCACUUUGUUUGAAUUUCACAGCAGCGUUUUCCUUGGAACAAAUGAAAUCAAAGGUUAUCUAGCAGCCUUUUGGAUUGAAGCCUUGUGGAUGCACAAUCCACAAUGCAGUUUCAAGUGGCAACAAACAGCAUCUAAGAACUCGAGAGUUGUGCAUGAGAGUUGUGCAAUCAAGGUGAAGAUUGCCAUCCAAAGAACCCUAAACAGCAGCAAAGUCCCAGUAAUCUUGCAGAAUACCUAGUAUGUCUCCAUAGAAGAAAGGAAAUUGACUGGUAGCUGCUGGACUAGCAAACAAUUUUCAACUUCUCCAUUGGCAGAGGUUUGUUGCAUUAAUAUUUUCUAUCUAGAGACAUCACUGUUUUUGGUUUUGGAUGGUGAAGGUUAUGACAAGGGAAGAAUUAGACAUCUGGAAAAAUACUCCCUAAGUUUCUUGUAAGAGAACUUUACUUCUCUUUUGUUCUACUUCCUGUCUAUAUUCUGAAACGGUUUGACAGGUGCAAAAUGGUUGCUUGUGGCUAUUCACAACAAAAAUAUGGAAAGUAUGAGUGUAUUUUCUCACAUCAGCAGCCACACACACGAGGCAAUUGCUGGUAAAGCUCUUUCCAUUCUUCUAUAAGCGUUUUGUGUUUAGUUUUUUAUUGAAAUAGUGAAGUUAUGAAUUGAAACAAAUAGCAAGAAAGNNNNNNNNNNNNNNNNNNNNNNNNNNNNNNNNNNNNNNNNNNNNNNNNNNNNNNNNNNNNNNNNNNNNNNNNNNNNNNNNNNNNNNNNNNNNNNNNNNNNGAGUGUCUCGUAAGGCUUCUUUCCAAGGUACUUCAUCAAAGCUCCAAGCCCGAUCGACUUGUUUCCUAGAUGAUCAAAGACAUCGAAGUUAAAACGGAAAUCAAAGAAUGUGAAAACUUACCAACAUCCACAAAGACAUCUGCAUUCGGCAAAAAACAAGACACGAGGAAACGUUUAGAGCACAGGAAAAAAACUGUCGAGAAACUGUACAUACCACUGCCUCCGUUAAAAGCACAAAACGGUAGCUUGGACUCCACCAGAUGGACUUGAACAGUCAAAGCCAUCUCCUCCAGAACCUGAUAAAAUAGGAAUGAAUCAGUAACCAACAACACAAACCUUUGGCUACCUCGUAAAUCGUCGAGACUUUGGGGAUGACUCCGACGGCCCUUGGCUUCCGCACAAAAUGAACUGGCAAAUUCAAGCGUGCGGAGGCCGACUGGAGAGCGCCCUGGGCUUCAUCAAGGAGUUCUUCGAUUCCCUCUUCCGACCACUCUAGCAUAUCUUUCGACUUCCACAUGUCGUCUGGGACAAACUCGAGCCGGUACUUGUUGUUCACCCGGAGGAGAUAGUUGCAUUCUCCUCCCAUGACUUGAAAGUACCUGGUGACUCUGGAAGCAAGCUCAAGCUCUUCGAAGGCUGAAAGCAGUCCAGAAAAUCGGUCCUCGAAUUUUGUAGGAUCUCCCGGAUAGCCUGCACGCACAACGUAGUAAAUACAAGUUCUUUUUAUCGAAAGAACUUCACCAUACCAGCUGCUGUGAGAAUCGCAACGUGAAUACCACGUUGCAUUAGCUUGAUAAUGUGCGCGAUCAUCUUGUUAUCGCGCUCGAUGUGGUGACCAUCGGAGUAAAUGGUACCAUCGGCAUCAAAAGUUACCAGUGCCAGUUUUUCAGCAAUAGCAUGAACCUGUGGAAACGAAAGUUUAACGCAGGGAAGAAAGAAGAAAGAGUUUCUUUGCCGACCUGUGCGAUGUUUAUGACAUGACGAAUCUCUGCAAAGUUUGGAGGCACGUAUCUUCUCCUCGAGAGAGACGCAAAUUCAUCGUACUCAUGGAAAGCUCGGACGAGAGGCAAAGGUGUGUAGAACCUCCCGACGGAAGGAAUCAAUCUGCUCAGCGUGCUACGCAUGGGAUCUUCGCUGUGUUCUUUGAUCCAUCUCUCCAUUUUCUCCAUCACCUACACCACGCAAAGAAAAAAAAAAAAACAAUCGAUAAGAGAAAAAUCAAUGGUGUGGUCCAUCGAAAGAAAUAUCUUCUCUUCACUCUUCUCGCCAGAGUACCUGGAUGGGAGAAUGCGUGGAAUGGAGCGAGAUGAUAAACUCGAUGAGCCCAUCUUGCUCCUUCAAUCGACCUUUGCGCCGCAAGACGUGAGCAUCAGUGACGCUGCUAGCUCGCGAGACGUGAGCGUCCUCCAGCACCUCCCUACUGAGCAGCAUGCUCCAUCGCAUCUUGUGCUCGGACGAUCUGACCUCUGGAUCCCCGCCAUCGCCUUGUUCUUGCGAUAUUUCGACCCCAUUCCCUGCUGGCGCCGGCUCCUCCGCCCGGAUUUUCUCCAGCCGCUGAUUCAGAUCCACGCCGCCGGCGCUCUCCACGCCCACGGCAUUUGAGAUCGAGCACACCGAGCAGCGCUGCCGCCGCUUCCUCGCCAAGAAGAUCUGGAAACACUGCGAUUUGAGGCCGAUUUGGGGGAUACAUUUGCCGGUGAAUGCUGUGUGGAGUGUAUCGACGCCGCGCCCGCCGCCGGGAGAGGCCUGGAUCACAGCGAGCGCCAUGACCAGCUGGAGCAAAGGGUUUAGGGUUCUUGGCGGCCAUAUAUCACAAAAUAGAGAAUAUUCUCUUACAGCUAUUGGGAAUCUAAGGAUAAGCACUCCAGCUAGUGGGGAAGAUAGAAUUCACACGUUGUAUCCAUUGGCAUGUGCGAAUGCUUCUUUAGUACACUACAUCUUUUGUAAAGUCUUGCCAGUUCCCAAAGUUCUAUCCACAUCCACCAAAUUUUAAUCGAUGAACACUCUACAUUGAAAAAUUUUCAUACCUUUCUGCGAUUUCCUCGUGUUGCUGGAAUGUUGCUAUUUUUUCUUGCGCGUUUUGACCUUACCACCCAUUUUCACCUCCAAACCUUGGCAGCAUCUCGCUGAUGAUUUAAAGAUUAUCAAAGUGAAGGUACUUGAUAAGGAAGAAUAAAUCCAGCUAAUCCACAGCAAGAUACCUUAGAAGAGUCACCUGAAAAGAAAUGUCAAUCCAUGUCCAUGUCUAUGUUGCUUAAUAUUCAUCUCUUUUUGGCGUCGCAAUAUGAUAAUCAGCAUCUGAAAUUCGAUGCCAAGUAAAAACUACGGAUUUUGCGAUAAAACACGAUAUUGGAUAUAUCAAACGCGAUGUUAGAUACAUUAUAGGAUUCUGGUUCCUUGUUCAUCUCUAACAAGGUGCCACUUUAUAGAGCGCGAGAAGCCACAGGCACUGAUCAGUGGUAUUUUCUGACGAUCCCCCUCAGGUACUCCCAGCCUCCACUCUGAUACGCGAAGUCCUGCAGCGAUUCAUCCAGGCAUUCUUCCUCGAGUUGAGAGCAACUCUGGCUUGUUA